UAUAAAUCGAGUAAUAACAUACGAAAAUGACUCUUCCAGAGGCAUAAAGGGAAUACAAACCAAGACCAGCCAUAACAGCGUAGUAAGGAUAAACAAGAGCAAAACUACCUGGUCUCUAAAUAUUAAACAAUUAGGUUCUUUUUUCUCUUCAUAAUUAAAAACAAGUUUCGUUUAAAACUUACCUGCAAGUAAGUUGGUUUGUGGAUGCU
Schizosaccharomyces pombe (fission yeast) is the source of this 209-nucleotide non-coding RNA. Lineage: Eukaryota; Fungi; Ascomycota; Schizosaccharomycetes; Schizosaccharomycetales; Schizosaccharomycetaceae. The record is from the annotation of a GenBank genome assembly.